Molecule: long non-coding RNA, 957 nt
Organism: Leptopilina boulardi
Lineage: Eukaryota; Metazoa; Arthropoda; Insecta; Hymenoptera; Figitidae
Exons: 3
Source: RefSeq, a predicted model, not a curated record
AAAAAAAAAAAUUUCAAGUUAAAACAAAAAAUUAUAUUAAAAAAAAAAAACCAAAUUUUUCCCUUCCAAUUUAAUUAAAGAAUAAAAAUUUAUUAUAUUUUUCAAAAAUUAAAAAUUAAUUAAUCGAUAAUUAAUAAUUAAAUUGUGAAUAAAUUUUAUUAUAUAAAAAAAAAAAGAAGUAAAACGUCCUUUUUUUGGAAUAUAUAUAUAUAUAUAUUAUAAACGUCUUUUAGAUAAGAGAGAGAGACUGUAGGAAGAGAAAACAAUGAUUAUUUUCAUUUCGAACUAGAACUUUUAUCUUUUUCAAUAUGUUCGUGUCAAGAAUCAAGUUUAAUGUGUGUUACUACGUCUCGAUCGAAGAGAAAAAUUCGAAUAAUCAAAAUUAUUAAAAAUUAUUUCUUACAAUAGGAAAAAAAAAAAAAAUUCAAUCAAAUCACGUACUAAUUUUUUUUUAUAUGUAAAAAUUGCAAAAAAGUGAUUUAAAAAAAAAAAAUUAUUAUUUUCUGUUAUGGAAAAAUGAUACCAAAAGAAGAAUCAUGUCUACUUGGUAAAUCUCGUUUCAAUUCACUUUGGAUAAAUUCGAGUUAUGAAAAAAAUUUACAAGAAGAAUUGACACAAGAAGAUUUAAGAUAUUAUACGGCUGGACCACUUUGGAUAAAAAUAAGAUUAGUUCUAUUUUGGUUGUUUUGGUCAAUUUUUGUUGUUGUUUUAAUAAUUUCAAUAUUAUUAUGCUGGUGUAUUAUACCUUCAUUGUGUUACGAAUAAUUUUUUCGAUUUUGUAAAGAAUCAUCAUUAUUUGAUUUAUCAUGAAAAUAUAUUUUUAUUAACCUAACCUUUUUAUAAUAAACCGAAUUCUAAAUAAUUAAAAAUUUUCAUUUCAUUUUCUAAUAAGUAAAAAAAAAAUGUAUUCACGAAAAUUGGACAUGUAUAUAAGAAAAUAAUAAUUGAUAUCAAAAU